This 69-nucleotide transfer RNA is filed under the name Scaphoideus varius. Its description in RNAcentral is "tRNA-Gln". Lineage: Eukaryota; Metazoa; Arthropoda; Insecta; Hemiptera; Cicadellidae. The record is from RNAcentral.
UGUAAAAUGGUGUAAGAUGCACUUGAAAUUUUGAUUUUCAUUGAUUAAGUUAAAUCCUUAAUUUUACAA